Molecule: non-coding RNA, 93 nt
Filed under: Anoxynatronum buryatiense
Lineage: Bacteria; Bacillati; Bacillota; Clostridia; Eubacteriales; Clostridiaceae
Description: alkaliphilic bacterium Su22 c-di-GMP-I riboswitch aptamer
Rfam family: c-di-GMP-I riboswitch aptamer
About the family: GEMM was predicted in a large-scale screen for bacterial structured RNA regulatory elements.
Source: Rfam by way of RNAcentral
CACAGAAAAAGGCAAACCAUUCGAAAGAAUGGGACGCAAAGUCAAGAGUCUAACACACCGAUAUUCAGGUGUCAUGAUCGUCCGGCUGCCGAG